This 77-nucleotide transfer RNA is filed under the name Erysipelotrichaceae bacterium. RNAcentral describes it as "tRNA-Arg". It matches the Rfam family "tRNA". From Rfam's summary of the family: Transfer RNA (tRNA) molecules are approximately 80 nucleotides in length. Lineage: Bacteria; Bacillati; Bacillota; Erysipelotrichia; Erysipelotrichales; Erysipelotrichaceae. The record is from RNAcentral.
GCGCCUAUAGCUCAAUUGGAUAGAGCGUUUGACUACGGAUCAAAAGGCUGUGGGUUCAAGUCCUGCUAGGCGCACCA